RNAcentral lists this transfer RNA (68 nucleotides) under Pachydactylus latirostris. RNAcentral's name for it is "Pachydactylus mariquensis latirostris tRNA-Tyr". Lineage: Eukaryota; Metazoa; Chordata; Lepidosauria; Squamata; Gekkonidae. The record is from RNAcentral.
GGUAUCAUGGCCGAGAAAUAGGCGGCGGGUUGUAAACCCGCGUACAGGGCGCAGGCCCUUGGUACCAG